This 90-nucleotide transfer RNA is filed under the name Oscillospiraceae bacterium. Its description in RNAcentral is "tRNA-Ser". It matches the Rfam family "tRNA". From Rfam's summary of the family: Transfer RNA (tRNA) molecules are approximately 80 nucleotides in length. Lineage: Bacteria; Bacillati; Bacillota; Clostridia; Eubacteriales; Oscillospiraceae. The record is from RNAcentral.
GGAGAGUUGUCUGAGUGGUUGAAAGAGCUGGUCUCGAAAACCAGUAUACGUAAAAGCGUAUCCAGGGUUCAAAUCCCUGACUCUCCGCCA